This 74-nucleotide transfer RNA is filed under the name Mageeibacillus indolicus UPII9-5. Its description in RNAcentral is "tRNA-Gln (CTG) (tRNA-Gln-CTG-1-1)". It matches the Rfam family "tRNA". Rfam says of the family: Transfer RNA (tRNA) molecules are approximately 80 nucleotides in length. Their secondary structure includes four short double-helical elements and three loops (D, anti-codon, and T loops). Lineage: Bacteria; Bacillati; Bacillota; Clostridia; Eubacteriales; Oscillospiraceae. RNAcentral also lists the same sequence under 2 other names. The record is from RNAcentral.
GGCCGAAUGGUGUAAAGGUAGCACAACAGAUUCUGGCUCUGUCGGUGAGGGUUCGAAUCCUUCUUCGGCUGCCA